RNAcentral lists this long non-coding RNA (543 nucleotides) under Zonotrichia albicollis (white-throated sparrow). RNAcentral describes it as "lncRNA (ENSZALG00000011806.1)". The record is from RNAcentral. Lineage: Eukaryota; Metazoa; Chordata; Aves; Passeriformes; Passerellidae.
UGAGAAACAGGGAGCAAGCAAAGAAGGGAAGGCAUCUUGCUGCUGUCUGUAGAGAGAGCUUCUUCUACAGGGAGGAAGCUCCUGGAGAUAAAGUUUCUGUUUCCAUUCCUUGUCCAUGGCCUUUGCAUUUACAGCAAUAAUUUUGCUCUCCUUCCUGCAGCAAGAAUGAUGAUUUGAACAAGACCAAGUGAAAGAACUGUAAGGAACAGUAGAAUAAGACUUGAGAGAAGCUGCCUUCCUCAAAGGAAUUAUUCAAAAUGCAAGCUGAGGCUUCUAAGGGGCAGCAGCAAGGCACCACCGUGGCUUUUGCAAAUGGUUUGGAGCUGAAAGCAAAGCUUGAGCCGUCUGCACUCUGCUGGGUUCCCUGCUAUGGAGAAACAUGAAAUCCAGGAUACAACUUUACAGUGACUGGGAAAAAUGUCAAGCUUUGAAAGAGCAUUUGUUGUGUCUAUGAGAGAGAACUCCAUCAAACUCAGGCCUUGGAGAGUGCUGCUGUGGAUGGCAAUGAGUGUGACUCAUCUGGCUAUAGAGCUGGAAGUGUAA